Molecule: long non-coding RNA, 799 nt
Organism: Raphanus sativus (radish)
Lineage: Eukaryota; Viridiplantae; Streptophyta; Magnoliopsida; Brassicales; Brassicaceae
Exons: 2
Source: RefSeq, a predicted model, not a curated record
UUUGGGUUCAAUAUAAAAUCACACAUAAUUUAAGAUAAGGAUCAAUUUUAAAACAAAACCAACUCACAUGGAAAAAAACUCUCUCUCUUCUUUUAGAGACAGACUUUUCUCUCGAACUUCCCUCUUACCAAAUACCCAUCUUUCAAAGGGUCUUUUGUUGUAUCAUAUUUCGAUCAUUUGAUCGAUUUUCUAUUUUCGUUGCGGAUUUUUGUUUUUCGUUAUGGCGGUUUUGUAGUGUUUCUUCGAUCUCAAACUGAUCAGCUUCUUCAUGGUUUCAUCUUUUAUCAGUUUUGUCGAAGAUAAAAUAAAGUCCGGACCUUAUAAUUCCGGUUGUGUCUUACUCUUUUGCGAUUCUAAAUCAAGAUUCCGGUGUGUCUGUUAUGAUUUAUCUUCAUUGAAAGAUAAUUUUGGAUUCCUUUUCCUUAGAAAUCAGUCUUACCCGAAGCCUGCCGAAAAAUCGGCUUUGGGUUCAGCUUUCUUCAGGUACAGGCGAUGGCGAAAGACGAAAGAGAAUAUACAAGCAUUGGGCUUGGAUUAAUGAUGAGGCUGAAGGAAGAACAUGAAGAUCGACUCUGGUAAAGAUACGGCGGUGACGAUGUAACUCGGCGAAGUUACAGCUUCGGUGAAGUCUUUGUGUAGGCUCGACGUGUGUCCAACCACGUGUAAAACAAACGAGAUAGUGGAUAGCACGUGGCAAAGGUUAAACUAGAGUCGGUUUUAUUGUUUUUGGGCUAAUAUUUUUAAUGAUGUAAUGUUUUUUGGGCCUUAUCGUUGAAGUCUGAAUACUUAUAAUUUUGCC